Molecule: ribosomal RNA, 301 nt
Filed under: uncultured bacterium
Lineage: Bacteria
Description: partial 16S ribosomal RNA
Rfam family: Bacterial small subunit ribosomal RNA
Source: RNAcentral
CAGCAGCCGCGGUAAUACGUAGGGUGCGAGCGUCAAUCGGAAUUACUGGGCGUAAAGCGUGCGCAGGCGGUUUUGUAAGACAGGCGUGAAAUCCCCCGGCUCAACCUGGGAAUGGCGCUUGUGACUGCAAAGCUAGAGUGCGGCAGAGGGGGAUGGAAUCCCGCGUGUAGCAGUGAAAUGCGUAGAUAUGCGGAGGAACACCGAUGGCGAAGGCAAUCCCCUGGGCCUGCACUGACACUGAGAGACGAAAGCUAGGGGAGCAAAUGGGAUUAGAUACCCCUGUAGUCCCUGUCUCUUAUAC